Molecule: ribosomal RNA, 500 nt
Filed under: uncultured bacterium
Lineage: Bacteria
Description: bacterial SSU rRNA
Rfam family: Bacterial small subunit ribosomal RNA
Source: RNAcentral
UAGUCCACGCUGUAAACGAUGAGUACUAGCUGUUGGUUCUGGUGUAAAAGAAUUAGUGGCGCAGCUAACGCGAUAAGUACUCCGCCUGGGGACUACGGCCGCAAGGUUAAAACUCAAAGGAAUUGACGGGGACCCGCACAAGCGGUGGAGCAUGUGGUUUAAUUCGAUGCAACGCGAAGAACCUUACCUGCCCUUGACAUCCAUAGGAGAUCUGAGAGAUUGGAUUGUGCCUUCGGGAACUAUGAGACAGGUGCUGCAUGGCUGUCGUCAGCUCGUGUUGUGAAAUGUUGGGUUAAGUCCCGCAACGAGCGCAACCCUUAUUUUUAGUUGCCAUCAUUAAGUUGGGCACUCUAGAGAGACUGCCGCUGAUAAGGCGGAGGAAGGUGGGGACGACGUCAAGUCAUCAUGGCCCUUACGGGCAGGGCUACACACGCGCUACAAUGGGCAUUACAGAGGGAAGCGAAGCUGCGAGGUGGAGCGAAACUCAUCAAAGGUGUUCG